Molecule: ribosomal RNA, 292 nt
Filed under: uncultured Frankiales bacterium
Lineage: Bacteria; Bacillati; Actinomycetota; Actinomycetes; Frankiales
Description: partial 16S ribosomal RNA
Rfam family: Bacterial small subunit ribosomal RNA
Source: RNAcentral
GUGUCAGCAGCCGCGGUAAUACGUAGGGUGCAAGCGUUGUCCGGAAUUAUUGGGCGUAAAGAGCUCGUAGGCGGUCUGUCACGUCGGCUGUGAAAACCCGAGGCUCAACCCCGGGCCUGCAGUCGAUACGGGCAGACUAGAGUUCGGUAGGGGAGACUGGAAUUCCUGGUGUAGCGGUGAAAUGCGCAGAUAUCAGGAGGAACACCGGUGGCGAAGGCGGGUCUCUGGGCCGAAACUGACGCUGAGGAGCGAAAGCGUGGGGAGCAAACAGGAUUAGAUACCCGUGUAGUCC